Numida meleagris (helmeted guineafowl) is the source of this 1614-nucleotide long non-coding RNA. RefSeq lists it as uncharacterized. The transcript is spliced from 2 exons. Lineage: Eukaryota; Metazoa; Chordata; Aves; Galliformes; Numididae. The record is from RefSeq and is a predicted model, not a curated record.
GGCGUCAGAAGGCGGCUCCGGUAAUGCGCCCAUCGAAGUUGUCUGGGAAUGCCGCGGCUGCCACAAUGACACCGGCGAACGGACUGUCACAUCGCGUGUCCCUGCCGCGGUGCACUGUAUAGCCAGCUCCUGACCUUUCACUUAAACUCUCAUCUGGACAUCCUACAAGUGACUACCACCAUCAGCCAAAACACCUUGUGAAGGCCAGACUGAAAAGGCAGCAAUCUCUGCAGAAAUGUUGAAGUGUUGGUACCAGUUUGCUACAGCCAGCUCGCUCCUCAUUCUUAACAAACCACGUAAGGGAUGGUCCUAACCACCCCGUAAAAGUUCAGACACAGGAUCAUCAUUCUCUUCCAAAAGCUCCAAGCAGUUCAGAUGUUAGUUAAGUUUUAGGUGGAAGAUAAAGGGGCAAAGCUAACACUAAAAUAAGGCAUCCUUGUAAAGCAAUUAUAACCAAUAAAAUGUAUUUAUGGCAAUUGCCUGAACAUAAAACAAUAAUGAUAAUAAAUAAAGUACAUACUGUAAUAUUGAAUUGCUAGUUAAAUUGACUUAGUGUUUAAUAUUAUCAAAACCUCUGGCACUAAGUCAUUUGUGUUAAAAAUAACUUUAUCUUUGUAAUUCUCAUCAACCUUGACUGCCCUAUGCAGAUGUCACUGCAAUUUGCUCAUCAACUCCAGGACAGCUGCCAAUCAAUACAGAAGACCAACACUUGAAACUAGAGAGAAGACAGCAGGAACCUGAAGAACACUCAGGACCACAUUCUGGGCUGCUACUAACAGCUGCGCAUCCUCGUGUUCAUUGACAGCAGGAGCUUUACCACAAGCUAGCCAAGAAACAAGCAACCCCCACGUGGCUGCGUGGCUCAGAACCACCUUAGACUGAAUUAGGGUGCAAAUCUCACUGAGCGGGAUGGAAACGGUGCCCACUGUAACCAAGAUUCAAUUUCAUCCACAAGUAUUGAGGUCCACCACUUAAUGCAGCAAACUGUUAAGUAGGGACUUCGUCAAAGCAAAGCAAGGUGUUAUUAUGACAGUAAUUUGUACCCACAUUGCAGAUUUGCCAAAGAUCUUAAAGCAUCUUUAAAAGUAUAAAUCAGCCUCUUUGAGAAGUAUUUGUCUGUUGUUAUAGACGUUAUGUCAGACUGGAAAGCUACAACACAAAGAAGUUACACUAAGCAUGAAAUUUCACUCUUCUGCAAAAGGCCAGCCCAAAGACUACAGGCUCUCCUUAAGUACCCCAUAAAUCCUUUAAGUAGGGCUUAAAUUAGAAAUUACACAGGAUUAAGGAGGCGGAUAGGUCUCAUACUGGUCCGUCGGUACCUGAGUCAAAUUUACCCAUGCAGAUCAGUAAAAAAAAGUCUAAAAAAAAAAAUCUAUGUAUCUCAAAUUCAAUUUUGAGCUUAGUAUUACUAUGCUGCAUAGACUUAAAAAAAAAAGCUGACGGUUUUAUUUUUUUUGAGAAUGCAGUGCUCACUCUGUUCCUACAAUUUUGUAGUCGAACCAACCAUCCAACAUUACAAAGCAGGUAUUUCACUGAAAUUUUGUUCUAUAUGCAUCUUGAGUAGUUUUUUACCACUUGAUCCCCUUACUUUAAAAAUAAAUUGGCAUAAGGCAA